RNAcentral lists this ribosomal RNA (539 nucleotides) under uncultured Bacteroidota bacterium. RNAcentral describes it as "bacterial SSU rRNA". It matches the Rfam family "Bacterial small subunit ribosomal RNA", at positions 116 to 650 of the family's 1533-position model. The record is from RNAcentral. Lineage: Bacteria; Pseudomonadati; Bacteroidota.
CGUACACAACCUUCCUUUAAGUGGGGAAUAGCCCAUAGAAAUUUGGAUUAAUACCCCGUAACAUUAUGAUGUGGCAUCACAUUAUAAUUAUAGCUCCGGCGCUUAAUGAUGGGUGUGCGGCUGAUUAGGUAGUUGGCGGGGUAACGGCCCACCAAGCCUGCGAUCAGUAACUGGUGUGAGAGCACGACCAGUCACACGGGCACUGAGACACGGGCCCGACUCCUACGGGAGGCAGCAGUAAGGAAUAUUGGGCAAUGGAGGCAACUCUGACCCAGCCAUGCCGCGUGGAGGAUGAAGGUCCUCUGGAUUGUAAACUUCUUUUAUAUGGGACGAAAAAGGGCCUUUCCAGGUCAACUGACGGUACCAUAUGAAUAAGCACCGGCUAACUCCGUGCCAGCAGCCGCGGUAAUACGGAGGGUGCAAAGCGUUAUCCGGAUUCACUGGGUUUAAAGGGUGCGUANGUGGGUUGGUAAGUCAGUGGUGAAAUCUCCGGGCUUAACUUGGAAACUGCCAUUUGAUACUAUCANGUCUUGAAUAUU